CCUACGGGAGGCAGCAGUGGGGAAUAUUGCACAAUGGGGGGAACCCUGAUGCAGCGACGUCGCGUGAGUGAAGAAGUAUCUAGGUAUGGUAAGCUUCAUCAGCAGGGAAGUAAAUGACGGUACCUGACUAAGAAGCCCCGGAUAACUACGUGCCAGAAGCCGCGGUAAUACGUCGGGGGCAAGCGUUAUCCGGAUUUACUGGGUGUAAAGGGAGCGCAGACGGGUGUGAAAGUCUGGAGUGAAAGUGUGCGGCCCAACCCGCGGACUGCUGUUGAAACUGGAAAGCUGGAGUGCAGGAGAGGUAAGCGGAAUUCCUGGUGUAGCGGUGAAAUGCGUAGAUAUUAGGAAGAACUCCAGUGGCGAAGGCGGCUUACUGGACUGCAACUGACGUUGAGGCUCGAAAGCGUGGGGAUCAAACAGGAUUAGAUACCCGAGUAGUC
Molecule: ribosomal RNA, 440 nt
Filed under: uncultured bacterium
Lineage: Bacteria
Description: partial 16S ribosomal RNA
Rfam family: Bacterial small subunit ribosomal RNA
Source: RNAcentral